Long non-coding RNA from Suricata suricatta (meerkat), 892 nucleotides. RefSeq lists it as uncharacterized. The transcript is spliced from 3 exons. The record is from RefSeq and is a predicted model, not a curated record. NCBI's taxonomy places the organism in Eukaryota, Metazoa, Chordata, Mammalia, Carnivora, Herpestidae.
AGCGGCGUCUAGCGGGAGAGGUCCCUCUGCUUACUUGCCCCGUGGCCACUCCCAGCCCGUCACAGGCACUGCAGGGCACUUGCCACGAGCCCCAGGUGGCCCUCGGAGCACAGCAGGGAGGCUUCUGAUCCUUUACAGGCAGCCGUGGUCCACCCCGGCCAUGCAGCUCUGGGGUUUGCUGUUCCCAGUGUAAAGCCUCCAUCGAGCAGAACGCAGUGAUUUCUCUGGGUUCUGGAAACCACCCGCUCACACGUGUAGCCAUUUUAACACUGACGUCGCUGAAGAGAUGCUGCAUCUCACACGGCUCCCCUGUGCGGCGUCUCACUCCUGGUAGCGUGUAUUCACCACAUUUGCAGGAAAUGCCAAGGCGCCCGUGUUACUGGACUCGGUCACCUCCGCGGUGACACGUGGCCAGCCCCCAGCGUGGAGGCACACCUGGGGCCCGGCUGUCACCGCGGUGUCGGUGAAGACCAGGAGGCCAGGCUCACACCACUGCCAUCCCUCCCACGGACACACCACCUCUCUGCCACCCAAAUGCCGGACACUGGGACCCCCAAAACCAUUCUGGGGUCCACUUCUUGAAGUUGGUCUCUUCUAGAAUGUUCUUUAAGAGGAAGCAUGGACUGUGACCUCUGGAGCCGGCCCUUUCUCGCUCGCCGUGUGUCCCCAGACAGCCACCGAGGAUGAUGGAGCGGCAGCCGUGGAUUUCCUGUGACCGAAGAUGCCCACCGUCUGUUAAUGGCGUUUCUAUUAACCUGGGAGGCUGGCAGAGAGAGGGAGAGGCCAGAACCAGGUGCGUUAGGCGCUGAGACAGGCGGGGCAGGGGGAAGGGGCGGUCGGCAGGACAAUCCGGACGCCGCGCUGCUCUGCCGCUCUCCGCUCUCCGCCCUCC